RNAcentral lists this ribosomal RNA (468 nucleotides) under uncultured bacterium. RNAcentral describes it as "bacterial SSU rRNA". It matches the Rfam family "Bacterial small subunit ribosomal RNA", at positions 328 to 794 of the family's 1533-position model. The record is from RNAcentral.
AACCCAGACUCCUACGGGAGGCAGCAGUGAGGAAUAUUGGUCAAUGGGCGGAAGCCUGAACCAGCCAAGUCGCGUGAGGGACUAAGGCCCUGCGGGUCGUAAACCUCUUUUGCCGGGGAGCAAAGAGCGGGACGCGUCCCGCCUCGAGAGUACCCGGAGAAAAAGCAUCGGCUAACUCCGUGCCAGCAGCCGCGGUAAUACGGAGGAUGCGAGCGUUAUCCGGAUUUAUUGGGUUUAAAGGGUGCGCAGGCGGAAGAUCAAGUCAACGGUAAAAUUGAGAGGCUCAACCUCUUCGAGCCGUUGAAACUGGUUUUCUUGAGUGAGCGAGAAGUAUGCGGAAUGCGUGGUGUAGCGGUGAAAUGCAUAGAUAUCACGCAGAACUCCGAUUGCGAAGGCAGCAUGCCGGCUCCACACUGACGCUGAGGCACGAAAGCGUGGGUAUCGAACAGGAUUAGAUACCCCCGUAAA